CUGGGAUUGGGAGGCUGGAGGCCUUGGGGGGUUGGUGUCUGUCAGCAUGCAGUGAGCUCUGCAAGUGAAAGGUGGGGGACACCAGCCAUAGAUGAAGAGGCACCCCGAGUGUGUGGAGGGGCAGAGAGUACCGAGGAGCCCUCCAACCUGGAGUGGCCUGUGGCUGGAGCACGGAGACUUUCCCACAGAUACGGGUUCACUGCCGUUUCUUAAGUAGAGCCUCGUGCGGUGGCCACGCACUUCUGGAGCAGGGUGGUCAUCAGUGGUGGUGGAAGGUCCCUGGUGAAGGCCAGUGGGAGUCAGGGGCCCCUCCUUCUUGCACAGCCCCCACUGUGCCGUGGGCAGGACACCUGGCGGUUGAAAAGCCAGGUGUGCCUGAGGCCGGCAGGCAUGAAGAGGCACCUGAGGUCAGUGGUUGACAGGAGUGAACGAGGAAACAAGGAAAUGGGCAGGGCAGGGGGUGUGGCGUGCACUGGGCCAAGUCCUAAUAAGUGCUCUGUCCACCAUGCAAUCCUGGCCUUGGCCCAGUGCCUGAGAACUGUCCCUGCUAGGACCUGGGCCACAGCUCAGUUCUGAUAGCCCCUGGGAAUGAGCCUGAAACCCAGAACCCAUGAGGGUGGCCCCAUUUCAGCUGCUCAAAUGACACUUAAGAUGACAGAGGACCUUCAGUGACCCUCCUCCCUUUCCCUUCCUCCGCCCUCCCUCCAGCUCCCCCCUUCUCCCUUGACCUGUGUUAGGGAGGGGCAUGGCUAUCAUCCCCACUUUGCAUAUGGGAAAGAUGAGGCCCACAGAGGGGCUCAGAGGUGCUACCACCACUUUCUCCCUCCCUUUCUCCUGUACCCACUAAAGUCACAUUCUGUACCAGGAAUAGUCUGAGGUUGGGUCUUGGGUCUUCCCAAGUAGAGCCAACUUUCCUGGAAUUGCCAUUCACGUGAGUAAACAGCCGGCCCUGCUGGGGAGCCAAGCCCCUUCUCUUUGAUAACAAACCUGGCAUCUGAACCCUGAGCCCUUCGCAGGUCGCUGUGGUCACAGGCUGGGCUCUGCAGUGGAGCUGGAGUGAGGCCCAGGAAGGUAUGCAAAGACUCUAGACUUUGGGCUGAGGAUCUUCAACCCUCCAUGACCCUAUGGGACAGCGGGCCCCGGUUCUAUCCAGUUCAUUUGAUGAACAUGUCCUGAAUGGCCACCUGCUGCUACUGACCAAGUGGUCUGGAGGUGUCCCGAUGAGGUACAGAGGAAAGGUUGUCACCUGAUGGUAAUCCCAGGGGCCAGAGCGAUGGGGACAGUGAGGAAGAGCUGGCUUGCAGACUGAGCUUGCUGCAGCCACGUGCAAGAUGUGGGCUCAGAGCAGUGCAAUGAGGGCGUGGCAGGCAGCUUGAGAUUCCUGUUGGUUGGGAGGGCCAGGGUCACUGUACCCUGCAGAGCCCCCCGCCCCCGCCUGCAUAGCUGGCCUGGCUUCUGCCCCUGCUUACCAACACUGCCCACACAUCGCUUGACAUUUAAAGACUUGGCUCCCUACUGCCCUACACAGGAGCAGGCGAGGGCUGCUGGACGGGAGGGAGGACUUGAGGGAUUUUGUGCAGGCAGUAGAGGGGCCCCUUCCUUGGCUUUCACAUGGUCCAGGAUUCUCUUCUCAAACACACUUGCAUUCUUACUACUCAGGAUCCACCCCAGGCAGCUUCAGGGUCCAUUCAUUCUGGCCAGGGCUUGCUCCUGAUGGGCUGCAGGUGGCUCACAACUAGGCUCUGCCCUGCGCCACCUAGAGAUGGCUAGGAGACAUGGCAGGCCCAGGCUGGCCCUUGAGCACCUCCCGUCUGUUCUGCCUUCACCACCUGGAGGCAUAGGGACCAUGCUGGCUCAAGGAAAUAAGUAGGUGAAGCAAGAUGGGCAUAGGAAGCUGGGGGAGCGGAGGGCUGAGCCCGCCCUAGGAGGGGUGCUGGGGGCUCCUGCACAGGCCCAGCCCAGUGUUCCUGCACCAGGCUGUCCCCUGGAGACUCCUCACCAUGCACCACCCUGCAUCUCCUCUGGCCACUUCCCAGGCCCUGCUCACCCCAAACCCAGUCCCAUGCCUCCCCCCUACUCUGCUCCCCAUUCCUCUGGUCCCCGGCCCUGUUCUGUGCCUCUAACCCUGCUUCCCCUGUCACCCCUCAUGUCCCCACCUGGCCAUGCCUGGCUCCAAUGUUCUUAUGUCCCCAACAAAGCAGCACGGGCAUGGGUUUGGAGCCUGGACCAUGUGCUGCUCUCUGCAAACUGGACAAAGCCUCAGCCCGGCUGUUGCUGUGCCCCUGGCUUGCCUCUGUGCCUGCCCCCACGCUGCCUGUGGCACCAGCCCCCCAUCCCCCCAUGGGACUUCCAUCCAGCUCCUUCCCAGGCCAUGACCUCCAGGUCUCCAACUGCCCAGAGGUGCUGUUUGGGCUGGCGACCUACCCACCAUUGCCAUCCUGGUCUGCAGGGUGCCAGGGAUGUAGGACAGGCUCUGUGUCCCCUGUCCUCAGUGCUUAGACUGGCGCGGUCAGCAGAAACUGUUCUGAUUCUUUGGCUGUGUUCCCUGGGAGUUAACGGACGGUGCGGCUUCUUCCCUUCGUUCCAGGAGCAGCUGUGGGAAGUCUGGGGAGGGCAUUGUGCUACGGGGCAUCCUGGUUGCCGCUGGUUGCUCAAACAGGGGUCAUGUCCCUCACAGACUCACUAUCCACUCUGCUUCUCUCACACUUGCUCAGAGCUUUUGGUUGAUAAAAUGCCUUCAAAUCCAAUGUCUGAGGGGAUUCCCACCGCCUCCCUGAGGGACACAUGGGCAGGGUCCUCACCUCUCCUUCACAGGAGGGAAAACAGGCUGGCAGUAUUAGGACAUGACGGUGGCCACUGUAGUCAUUAGUGGGGGACUAGAACACAGCUUGCAGAUGGUCAGUCUGGGCCCCCUCGGUGACCUUGUGCAGUUCUGCCUGAGUCACCCGGGGCCUGAUGGCUGUGAGUCACACGGACUUGUGGCUCCCUGCACAUUUGCCAAGGGUGGGGGAGGGGACCCACGUGACGCAGAGGAUCCUGGGACCCAGCUUGCAUGGUCGAGGGAGGAACUGUACGGCUGACUCUAUUUCCUACCAGCUGUGUGACCUUGGCUGAGGUCCGGCGUGACGGAGGCAACAGUGAGUGGGCUCCAGACCCCAUGCCCCUCUCACUAGCAGUGGACUUUCCUGUCACUUAGUCUCAUGAAGCUCCAACUUUCUCAUCUUUAAAAAUGGCCCCGGAGGCGACUACAUUGCAUCCUGAGCAAGACGCUGUGGUCUGCUGAGCUUUGAGAUGCCAGACAGAGUCGUAGAAUGCACAUUGGAAGGGGACUGAGGGGUUGGGGAGCCCUGGGCAGGAGUGGAAGAGGUUUUCCUGGGUGAGCCCGAGCAUGAUGGCUCUGCUGUCUCCCCCAAAGCCUCAGUAAAAUCAGUAACAUUCUUUAAAGUGUUUGGUUUGAUUUCCAGUUUCUCCUGGAUGCCACAAAGUUGAUCAAUUUUAAUUAAAGUUCUUUUCCUUCUGAGGAUUCCUUUGCCUCCUUGCCCUUCCCUUUUUCCAACAUCACUACUUGGCAGCAGAAUGUGCAUGUGGAUUUAAUGGAAGGGAAAAAGGGAGACAAAGCAGAACAGGUUUGGGUACAUCCUGGCUACUUUUCCUCAGUUGGAUGGGAGGGUUGGCUGUCG
RNAcentral lists this long non-coding RNA (3680 nucleotides) under Marmota monax (woodchuck). Lineage: Eukaryota; Metazoa; Chordata; Mammalia; Rodentia; Sciuridae. The record is from RNAcentral.